ACUCAAAGGAAUUGACGGGGACCUGCACAACCAGUGGAGCAUGUGGUUUAAUUCGAGACGAACCGAAGAACCUCACCUAGAUUUGACAUAAUACCGUUUUAGUUUUUCAGAAAUGAAGAAUGAUCCCUUAAUUGUGGAUGGUACUACAGGUGCUGCAUGGCUGUCGUCAGCUCGUGCCGUAGGGUGUUUCCUUCAGUGGAGUAACGAGCGCAACCCCUAUCGUAUGUUGAAUAUUCAUACGAGACUGCUGUCCUUUGGACAGAGGAAGGUGGGGACGACGUCAAGUCAGCAUGGCCUUUAUAUCUAGGGCUACACACAUUCUACAAUGGAGCCGACAAUGGGUUGCCAAGCCGUAAGGCGGAGCUAAUCCCAUCAAACGGCUUCUCAGUUGGGAUUGAGGGCUGCAACUCGCCCUCAUGAACGCGGAAUUGGUAGUAAUCGCGGAUCAGCUAGGCCGCGGUGAAUACGUUCUCAGGUCUUGUACACACCGCCCGU
RNAcentral lists this ribosomal RNA (495 nucleotides) under uncultured bacterium. Its description in RNAcentral is "partial 16S ribosomal RNA". It matches the Rfam family "Bacterial small subunit ribosomal RNA", at positions 899 to 1397 of the family's 1533-position model. The record is from RNAcentral.